AGCAUCUGCUGCUAGAGGAAAGGUCAUCACUCACGCAGUGAGAAAAGUCUCAUACAAAACACCAUACCCAUCUUCAUUGAGUUAAAAAGGCUAAUGGAAAGCAAGAAUAGCCCCCUUAUAGGUUCCCUCAUGGAAUGCCUUCGAGUUCUUCUCAAGGACUACAAGAACGAAAUUGAUGACUUAUUGGUAGCUGAUAAGCAACUUCAGAAAGAGCUCCUCUAUGACAUUCAAA
Long non-coding RNA from Cucumis sativus (cucumber), 232 nucleotides. RefSeq lists it as uncharacterized. NCBI's taxonomy places the organism in Eukaryota, Viridiplantae, Streptophyta, Magnoliopsida, Cucurbitales, Cucurbitaceae. The transcript has 2 exons. The record is from RefSeq and is a predicted model, not a curated record.